GAUGAACGCUAGCGGCAGGCUUAAUACAUGCAAGUCGAACGGGGUUGAGAAGCUUGCUUUUCAUGAGAGUGGCGCACGGGUGCGUAACACGUAUGCAACCUGCCUUGUCCAGGGGGAUAGCCCGUUGAAAGACGGAUUAAGACCGCAUAACAUCAUUGAAUGGCAUCGUUUAAUGAUCAAAUAUUUAUAGGUACAAGAUGGGCAUGCGUCUGAUUAGCUAGUUGGCGGGGUAAUGGCCCACCAAGGCGACGAUCAGUAGGGGAUCUGAGAGGAUGACCCCCCACACUGGUACUGAGACACGGACCAGACUCCUACGGGAGGCAGCAGUAAGGAAUAUUGGUCAAUGGGCGCAAGCCUGAACCAGCCAUGCCGCGUGCAGGAAGACGGCCCUACGGGUUGUAAACUGCUUUUAUACGGGAAUAACCCCGGUUUCGUGAAACCGGCUGAAUGUACCGUAAGAAUAAGGAUCGGCUAACUCCGUGCCAGCCGCCGCUGUAA
Molecule: ribosomal RNA, 498 nt
Filed under: uncultured bacterium
Lineage: Bacteria
Description: partial 16S ribosomal RNA
Rfam family: Bacterial small subunit ribosomal RNA
Source: RNAcentral